This 292-nucleotide ribosomal RNA is filed under the name uncultured bacterium. Its description in RNAcentral is "partial 16S ribosomal RNA". It matches the Rfam family "Bacterial small subunit ribosomal RNA", at positions 505 to 796 of the family's 1533-position model. The record is from RNAcentral.
GUGUCAGCAGCCGCGGUAAUACGAAGGGGGCUAGCGUUGUUCGGAAUUACUGGGCGUAAAGCGCGCGCAGGCGGUUUUCCAAGUCAGUGGUGAAAGCCCGGAGCUCAACUCCGGAAAUGCCAUUGAAACUGCAAAACUUGAGUACGAGAGAGGUGAGUGGAAUUCCCAGUGUAGAGGUGAAAUUCGUAGAUAUUGGGAAGAACACCGGUGGCGAAGGCGGCUCACUGGCUCGUAACUGACGCUCAGGCGCGAUAGCGUGGGGAUCAAACAGGAUUAGAUACCCUGGUAGUCC